UUUAACAUUUCCCCGCCAUCACGCCCUGAAAAUAAGGUAUUGCUGAGUAAUGUAUUUCAUGGAUGAAAUACAAGGCGUAACUUCACCAAGGAUGGUGAAUAUACGCCGCUUACGUUCAAGCAAUAGUUUAUUUGAAGGAUAAAGCGUGAUGCUCGGGUGCGCUGAGA
This 167-nucleotide non-coding RNA is filed under the name Pseudoalteromonas sp. 3J6. The record is from RNAcentral. Lineage: Bacteria; Pseudomonadati; Pseudomonadota; Gammaproteobacteria; Alteromonadales; Pseudoalteromonadaceae.